Molecule: ribosomal RNA, 383 nt
Filed under: Lycodopsis pacificus (blackbelly eelpout)
Lineage: Eukaryota; Metazoa; Chordata; Actinopteri; Perciformes; Zoarcidae
Description: partial 12S ribosomal RNA
Rfam family: Bacterial small subunit ribosomal RNA
Source: RNAcentral
CCCCGGCGUAAAGAGUGGUUAAGCUAGAAUUUAUACUAAAGCCGAACAUCCUCACGGCUGUUAUACGCACCCGAAGAUAAGAAGCUCAACCACGAAGGUAGCUUUAUUUGUCUGAACCCACGAAAGCUACGGCACAAACUGGGAUUAGAUACCCCACUAUGCCUAGCCCUAAACAUUGAUAGUACCCCACACCCACUAUCCGCCUGGGAACUACAAGCAACAGCUUAAAACCCAAAGGACUUGGCGGUGCUUUAAACCCCCCUAGAGGAGCCUGUUCUAGAACCGAUAACCCCCGUUCAACCUCACCUUUCCUUGUUUCACCCGCCUAUAUACCGCCGUCGUCAGCUUACCCUAUGAAGGCUUAGUAGUAAGCAAACUGGCUA